This 1380-nucleotide long non-coding RNA is filed under the name Lonchura striata (white-rumped munia). RNAcentral's name for it is "domestica (Bengalese finch) lncRNA (ENSLSDG00000006079.1)". Lineage: Eukaryota; Metazoa; Chordata; Aves; Passeriformes; Estrildidae. The record is from RNAcentral.
CACCGGGAGCAUCUGUUCCCAUACCAGCGGGAACAGACCCCCAUAACACAGGAAACUUCCUCCAUAACCGGCGGGAACAGCAUCCCCUCACACCGAGAGCAGCCCCCCACCACUGCUGUGCCGUUCCCCCUCACACCGGGAGCACCUCCAUCACUGCGGGAACAAGCUCCCCUCACACCGGGGGCAGCUCUCCAUCACUGCGGGAACAAGCUCCCUCACACCGGGGGCAGCUCCAUCACUGCAGGCAGGAGCUGUUCCCUCACACAGGGAGCAGCUCCAUCACUGCGGGAACAAGCUCCCCUCACACCGGGAGCAGCUCCAUCACUGCGGGAACAAGCUCCCCUCACACAGGGAGCAGCUCUCCAUCGCUGCGGGAACAAGCUCCCCUCACACCGGGGGCAGCUCCAUCACUGCAGGAACAAGCUCCCCUCACACAAGGAGCAGCUCUCCAUCACUGCAGGAACAAGCUCCCCUCACACCGGGAGCACCUCCAUCACUGCGGGAACAAACUCCCCUCACACCGGGAGCACCUCCAUCACUGAAGGAACUGGUCCCUCACACAGGGAGCAGCUCUCCAUCACUGCAGGAACAAGCUCCCCUCACACCGGGGGCAGCUCCAUCACUGCAGGAACAAGCUCCCCUCACACAGGGAGCAGCUCCAUCACUGCGGGAACAAGCUCCCCUCACACCGGGGGCAGCUCCAUCACUGCAGGAACAAGCUCCCCUCACACCGGGAGCACCUCCAUCACUGCAGGAACAAGCUCCCCUCACGCCGGGAGCAGCUCUCCAUCACUGCGGGAACAAGCUCCCUCACACCGGGGGCAGCUCUCCAUCACUGCAGGAACAAGCUCCCCUCACACCGGGAGCAGCUCUCCAUCACUGCGGGAACAAGCUCCCUCACACCGGGGGCAGCUCUCCAUCACUGCAGGAACAAGCUCCCCUCACACCGGGGGCAGCUCCAUCACUGCGGGAACAAGCUCCCCCACACCGGGGGCAGCUCCAUCACUGCAGGAGCUGUUCCCUCACACCGGGAGCACCUCCAUCACUGCGGGAACAAGCUCCCCUCACACCGGGAGCAGCUCCAUCACUGCGGGAACAAGCUCCCUCACACCGGGAGCAGCUCCAUCACUGCGGGAACAAGCUCCCCUCACACAGGGAGCAGCUCUCCAUCGCUGCAGGAACAAGCUCCCCCACACCGGGGGCAGCCGCCCCUCGGGCCGGGGUCCGCUCACCGCGCUGUGCCCGCGGGUCCCGCCCCGCGGGUCCCGCCCGGGAUCUCCCCGGUCCCGCACCCCGGCAGGGAUUUCCGCAGGGAUCACGGCUCCAGCCGGGCUCCCCGCCUGCCUCAUCCUCCUCCCCGCACCCCACACGGACGAUUAA